RNAcentral lists this RNase P RNA (361 nucleotides) under Caldifarciminota bacterium RBG_13_43_14. RNAcentral describes it as "RNase P RNA component class A". It matches the Rfam family "Bacterial RNase P class A". Rfam says of the family: Ribonuclease P (RNase P) is a ubiquitous endoribonuclease, found in archaea, bacteria and eukarya as well as chloroplasts and mitochondria. Its best characterised activity is the generation of mature 5'-ends of tRNAs by cleaving the 5'-leader elements of precursor-tRNAs. The record is from RNAcentral. Lineage: Bacteria; Pseudomonadati; Caldifarciminota.
CGGGGUGGCUGGAUAGCCGCUCGAUAAGAGAGGAAAGUCCGGGCUUCACAGGGCAGGAUGCUUCCUAACGGGAAGACCUCUAAUAAGGGUGGAAAGUGCCACAGAAAAUAAACCUCUCCGCAUUUUCAAAAAUGCGGAGAAAGGGUGAAACGGCGGGGUAAGAGCCCACCGCUCUGAUGGCGACAUCAGAGGCUCGGCAAACCCCAUCCGAAGCAAAACCAAGCAGCCCCAAAUGAAAUGGCCCGUUUCAUUCUGUUCACGCAGGUGAGGGGUGGGUAGGUUGCGCAGAGCCUGGUAGUGAUAUCAGGACAAGAUAAAUGGCUAUCAUUUACAGAACCCGGCUUACAGGCCACCCUGUUUU